This is a non-coding RNA of Meleagris gallopavo (turkey), 4822 nucleotides long. The record is from RefSeq and is a predicted model, not a curated record. Lineage: Eukaryota; Metazoa; Chordata; Aves; Galliformes; Phasianidae.
UUCCUUUUCCCAACGAGCCGACGGCCUCGGUGGUGCCCAUCAGCGCCUGUACUGCACCUCCGGCCCGCUGAAGAUCCCUUUAGAAGCGAAAAGACUGCUUUGAAGCAUCUAGGGGAAGCAGGCGGGAAUUUAUUAUAAAUUCCUCUAAAGUACAACAGCUGUACAGAAGCAGCUUAGUUUUCCCCCGGCCGGUACAGGCAGUGAGUCAGCACAGCGAGGCGCUGCUGGCCGCGCUCAGUCCCGGGACGGGCGGUGCGGGAAGCGCCAUUUCGGAGCCUGCGCCGUGCAGAUCGUGGGGCCAUUAUCAAAGAGGGCUGUGUCUGCGCUGUGCGUUCUCUGACCUUACUGGAAUGUCUGUGUUCACCUUUCUGUUUCGAGCGGUAGUGCAAAAAUCAUCAUUAACUUCAACACAUAUAAUUUGUCUUUUCAGACCUUUUAGAGGAUUCCAGAGCUGUGACUGCAGUUUCCCAAUUCCCAGGCUGUCUUGGCAGUAGAAGAAAUGUGAAAAAGAGCUUUGUGUCAUUUGAAUCGUGUUGUCUUCUUAUGAAUUACUGCUAUAGCUGCUGUAUGUAGGUGUUGCAAGGUCAUACCUUCACCCAUCCAAGGCAAAGACAUGAUACUAUCUGCCUGAAAAUAUCUGUCUGGGCAAUCUUUCAGUAAGACUUCUCCCACACAUCCAACUUUUUUUUUUUUUCUCUCCUGUAACUUAUUGCUUCUUUCAUGUUGCACAAGAGGUUCCCGAAAACAUUAAUUUUUUCCUCCCCCAGAUUCCUACAGUAAGUACCACUUUGUCUACAAAAUCCUGUCAGUAAUUAAGAAGCUCAUAUGUUACAACCUCUGCUUGGUAUGAUAAUUACCCUACUCUCCCUGCCCUAGCUCUCCCUGUUGACUGUUGAUCUUCCAUCCAUUACCAUUAGCUUGAAUUGAAUAGAAUUUGGAGUGGUAUGAAGUGUCUCACAUAGGGAAGAACCAGCAUUUUGAAGGACCUGCAGGUGCUACCUCAAGGUUAGUUUAACAACUAAAAAUACUCCAUCAUGAAUGGCCUUUAUAUCAUUCAGGUGGUAUUCUUAAAAUUAUAUUUUAAUCUCAGUUAAAAUGUGAAUAUAGUUAUUUAACGCAGCCUAAAAGAAGUGGGUUUUUUGUUUGUUUGUUUUUUGUUGAAAAAACAAUGACCAGCCAUGGUCACCACAGUUCUGGCCUGUAAUAAGUUUGAGCUUAUGAUGGCUUUGUGCCCUCAGGCUCACCAGGAAGGGGAAUCAGGACAGCGUGCGUUGGCAGGUGGGAGUGUAAAUCUGGGUAGGAAGAGAACUCAUGUCAAGAGCAUGUCAAAUCAGUCUCUUCCAAGCAGGAUCCUCAAAAACCCAAAGGUGUAUUCCUCUCUAUGGAAAAAAAUAAUAAAGGAGAGCAUCAAUAUCAGUUAUCACUCUUCAGCUUUAACCCUCCCGGGGGCACAGACAAUCUGACUGAUUAAGUUGUAAUUUUACACCCUUUGCACCAGCUGCACUUGUCUGAUUUUUUUACCUGUGUCACUAAUAGCACCACAGAGAACUAGAAUGAAAGAACUAUUAAAAGCCUAAUGUGUUUUUUUCAUAUGUAGGUUGUUUGCAUUUCUAAUGCCUGUUUUGAAGCCUUGUGUGAAAUGAAAAGUGGAGGUGAUAAUUCAUUAGCAAGCAAAAUACAGAAGUAAAGCGUUAUGAAAAAAACCUGUUAUGGAGGGAGAUGGAGAACUUAAUGCUCAAGGAGGCCUUUCACCUCCAGGGUUUGGAAGACCUUCCUGUGUAGUUAUGCUGGAACACUGUGGAUGGGAAGAAUAAAACAACCAAGGCAGCCUGCAUACAAAGCCUGAACUAUUACCUCCUAGUGGGGCCAGUUGCUCUCACUGCUCUCCCAAGGCUACCGAGCAGCAGGUGUACAUGGAUGUGCUGGGUGUGAUCACCUCCUGCAGCACGGCUGCUGCCUCAUGUGCAGGGGGAAAGCAGAAAUGGAGAGAGAAAAUGAGCUGUGCUGCUGCUUUGUAUGUGCCUGCCAGCCCUGGCCAUAUCUGCUGUCACACUUGGUUUUCCAUAAAAUUUCUUUGAUUGUUUUUGAUCACUGGUACUGGUGUGAAAUGUUGUCCUUUGCACAACUGGAUCUAGCCAUUAAAAAUGCUUUAGAAGUCACAGCAUACAUAUCAAGUGUUGAUAGAUACAAGGCUGAAAUGGACUGUGGCAAUACUCGUGGUAUGCUUUUAAUCAUAGCGGUGAAUUACAUUAAAAUCUCACUGCCCAACACUACUGUGUUUUGCUCUCUUUUACGCUGUGGCAACACCUAGCGUUCCCUCUUCACAUGCCUAAUUCUUCACAUAGUUUGAGGAUAAUAUGACCUCAGAAUACAUGCAGUCCUUCACCUAUCAGCACCUUCUUUUCUGCACUCAGGAGAUACUGUCGAUCCUUCUUUCUCUUACAGAUUUGUCCAAACUUAUUAGCACAGGCAAAAGUAAUUCCCAUUUCCUCCUGGCUACGUGACAAAAGAAGGACAAAGGACUUCUAUCUGCUGCCUAGGAAUACAGUAAACAUUCAUGAUUUCAAGUAUGGUGAUAAGAGCAUAUUGCACCACAGUGCCAUCUCGUAGCAGUUUGUUUGGCUGAGCGUUCACUGGGCCAGCACAUCACCACUGUCAGCAUGCAAAUAAGCUCUCCCAUGCAGCUGAGAAUGAGGGCCAGAAGCCUGAAAAUAAACCAGCAAAGUGUGCCUGUUAUAAGGAAUGAGAGGUACUUGCCAACUUUUAAUCACUGGGCUUAAUGACUGGCAUGACAACAUUUUUCUGAUGGGAAAAUUAUUUACAGGCAGUUGGAAGGUCAGGAGGCUGUCUGAAACAUUCAGUGGCAGAACUGGAGUUAGCAUUUCAGUGAACCACAUUGCUCAGGUACCUGCUUGGUGUCCCAAUGCAGCCACCUUCACUGUGCACUUCAGAGUAAAAAAUUACCUUCUAAUAAAGAAAUAAGCACAAUGGUAGGAAGGAUUCUGCUUUGGGUCUCACCUUGGCUGUGAGACACAGUGCAGGCUGUGUAGUGGGCUGUUACAGUGGUUUGCUUGAUUCUGUUUCUUCUGUCAGACAUUUGCCAGUGUUGAUGAUGAAUAGUGGGGAAAAAUACUGAAAAAGUCCUAGGUGAUGAAUUAGAAUAUUAGUUUAGGUAUUUCUGCUGCCAGACAGUCAUGCAGUUCCCGCAUUACUAUAUAAGGUUUAAAAUGUUGAGAGAGGAAGAGGAAUUUCAAAUAUGUUUAUUCUUAUGCAGAUAAUCUCUGAAUUUUAACUCUAAUAAAGCUUUUCACCAGAAUGAGAUGUUAACUAGCCAAUAUUUUAAUCACAGUUCAGUUAAACAACAUUUACCUCUGCAGAAAGGCACCCAAACUGUACUGUCUGUGCUACUCUGUUUCUGUGGAAACUGUGUGUUGGAGUGGAAUAGGAAAAAUGGUGGAGAAAAGGAGAGCAGUAGCAUUUUUGGCUGAAGUCCUGUUGGCCAACCCCAGUUUCAUCUGGGAUAAAUCAGCCAAGCAAGGCCUCAGUGCUGAAGCCCUGACAGUUCUUUUUCCUCCUCCUCUUAACUUGUGCCGAGGGAGGAGUCUGCUUCACAGACACCAUUCAGAAAGUGCUUGCUAAAGCAAUUUAUCUGUACUUUUCAUGCAACAAGAAUUUUAGUCAGCCAGUGAUGUUAGUCAAUAGCUGCCUACACUGGUAGGGUAAGGUUUGUUCUGAAAAGAACUUCCAUUGACGCACAUAUUGCUCAGUCACUGGUCUUCUAAAAAGCACCACUGUAUUCUUGGAAAGAAACUCUCCUCUUCCAACACUGAAAAGACACAUUUUUCAUCAUUCAGGGAUUUCCAAAAUAUGCAUAUGUUUGAUGGAUUGCCAGGAAAGACAGACAGCCUUGACCAGUAAACUCAGCUCUUUUACUUUCUCUUCUCUGGUAGCUGUUUCACUGACAUUCAUAUUGUUUUCUCCUGGAAUAAAACAUCUUUCUUAAAAGUAAAAUGUGAAUUAACAUAAUAUAUUUUAUUGCUUUUUCUGUUCUUAUGAUUUUGUUAAUCAGUGAUUGCUUGCUACUUGUGUAUGUGAGUGAGAGUGAAAAAUCUACCGUGGUAAAGUUGUGAUUGAUGUCUCAAUGCUGUAGAAGUAUUUGGGAGGGUUGGGGGUCUAUUUCUUCCACAUACACACAGCAAAUGACUGGCUUUGAUUGUAGUCUGAGGCUCCAGGUUGGAGGGCUAUGGCAUUUUGCUGCCUUGCUUCAGUAUACACGUUGCCACAGAGUACCAAAAAGCAUUUUGCAGCACUCAUGACAACCAUCAUUCAGUAGAGAAUACUAAAUUACUGCAGGAAAAGAGACAACAGAAAAAGCAGUUUGCAAGAAUGGACAGUAUGGGAGAAAUUUAAGUAAGGAAACAGCAUUAUCUUUUCAAAUUCAGGUGUUUAGAGUGUGCAGACCCAAGAAUUUCAACAGAGUUUCUUACAGGUGAAAGCUAAAGGGAAGAGCCUAGAUCAUGGUGAUGUUGGCUGUACAUGUUUGUGCUUCUGUAUGGAAUCAGGGACACCUGCUUCUUGGUCUGCUGCUGCUUCAGCUUCUUGGUGAGACAUUAACUCUUUAGGUCUCUCUCUAGUUUCCUGUGUGUGCUGGAAUUGGCAGCAGAACAUGAAGAACUUUAACUGCAUCAGAUCAAGGAACCCUUUCCCAUUGUGUGCCUGUAGUGCAUUGUGCUAUACAUGAAAGAAGCAGGAAGGGAAUAGAAAUACAGAAUCACAGAAUAGUAGGGGUUGGAAGGGACUUCUAGAGAUCAUUGAGACCAAC